RNAcentral lists this ribosomal RNA (1448 nucleotides) under metagenome. RNAcentral describes it as "bacterial SSU rRNA". It matches the Rfam family "Bacterial small subunit ribosomal RNA". The record is from RNAcentral.
AAGUCGAACGAGAAGAUAGUGCUUGCACUAUCGGACAGUUGCGAACGGGUGAGUAACACGUAGAUGAUCUGCCUAUUGGUUGGGGACAGCAUAGGGAAACCUAUAGUAAUACCGAAUAAGCUCUUACUGUUUUGACAGUUUGAGGAAAGAUGCUUCGGCAUCGCCGAUAGAUGAGUCUGCGCCUGAUUAGUUAGUUGGUGGGGUAAAGGCCUACCAAGACCGCGAUCAGUAGCCGGCCUGAGAGGGUGACCGGCCACAUUGGGACUGAGAUACGGCCCAAACUCCUACGGGAGGCAGCAGCUAAGAAUCUUCCGCAAUGGGCGAAAGCCUGACGGAGCGACGCCGCGUGGACGAAGAAGGCCGAGAGGUUGUCAAGUCCUUUUAUGAGAGAAGAAUAAAGUGCAGAGGUAAUGCUGCAAAGAUGACGGUAUCUCAUGAAUAAGCUCCGGCCAAUUACGUGCCAGCAGCCGCGGUAACACGUAAGGAGCGAGCGUUGUUCGGAAUUAUUGGGCGUAAAGGGUUCGUAGGCUGUUUGUUAAGUCUGACGUAAAAGAUCACGGCUCAACCGUGGGAAUGCGUUGGAAACUGCCAGACUGGAAUCGGAGAGGGGAAGUUGGAAUUUAUGGUGUAGGGGUGAAAUCUGCUGAUAUCAUAAAGAACACCGGAGGCGAAGGCGAACUUCUGGCUCACGAUUGACGCUAAUGAACGAAAGCAUAGGGAGCGAACAGGAUUAGAUACCCUGGUAGUCUAUGCCGUAAACGAUGUACACUUGAUGGUUGUGCCGCUGGGUAUGGCUGUCGAAGCUAACGCGUUAAGUGUACCGCCUGGGGAGUAUGCCGGCAACGGUGAAACUCAAAGGAAUUGACGGGGGCCCGCACAAGCGGUGGAGCAUGUGGUUUAAUUCGAUAUACGCGAGGAACCUUACCAGGGUUUGACAUAUUUAGGACCGUACUAGAGAUAGUAUUUUCCCUUCGGGGACCUUUUUACAGGUGCUGCAUGGUUGUCGUCAGCUCGUGCCGUGAGGUGUUGGGUUAAGUCCCGCAACGAGCGCAACCCCUGUUGUCUGUUGCCAGCAUUAAGUUGGGGACUCAGGCAAGACUGCCGGUGACAAACCGGAGGAAGGUGGGGACGACGUCAAAUCAUCAUGGCCUUUACAUCCUGGGCUACACACGUGCUACAAUGGCCGGUACAGAGUGAUGCGAAGCCGCGAGGUGGAGCCAAACGCAGAAAGCCGGUCUCAGUUCGGAUUGGAGUCUGAAACUCGACUCCAUGAAGGUGGAAUCGCUAGUAAUCGCGCAUCAGCAUGGCGCGGUGAAUACGUUCCCGGGCCUUGUACACACCGCCCGUCACACCACUCGAGUUGGGGGUACCCGAAGUCGUUAGUCUAACCGCAAGGAGGGCGGCGCCGAAGGUACGUUUAGCGAGAGGGGUGAAGUCGUAACAAGGUA